GCCUGGAAGUUUCUGGAGCCUGGAAGUCUGAGAACAGGACACCAGCAUGAUGGGUUCUGAUGCUUUCUGCUGGAACUCCAGAAGCUACUAAGUAUUAGAACUCAUCCUGUCAUUCUUCAGAGUCUAAUAGUUCCCAACACCAAGUGGGUGCUUAAAAAGUGUUUGAUGGAAGAACAGUUACACUAGUUCCAGCUCCGGGGAAGCUUUUGGUGAAACACGCAGGAGAAGUGAAGGUCUAGAAGACUCUGUGAGCCCACAGGGUCCCUGAAACCAUCCUUGCUCAGACGGCUGGAGUCCAACAGCCCUCAGAAAGGGCGGGCACCAUCUAUAAUUUAAAAGGACUUUGCACCAGGGACACAAAAUGAGACUACAGCUGUUUCCAGUUCUCUCAGUGCCUCCAGGAAAUUAUUUUCUGAUGCAUUCCUCUAAGAAAAUCAUGUCAUUUCCUUAUUGCUGCUUAAUUAUU
Long non-coding RNA from Suricata suricatta (meerkat), 466 nucleotides. RefSeq lists it as uncharacterized. Lineage: Eukaryota; Metazoa; Chordata; Mammalia; Carnivora; Herpestidae. The transcript has 3 exons. The record is from RefSeq and is a predicted model, not a curated record.